This 280-nucleotide long non-coding RNA is filed under the name Elaeis guineensis (African oil palm). RNAcentral's name for it is "long non-coding RNA (EGUI_LNC011314)". The record is from RNAcentral. Lineage: Eukaryota; Viridiplantae; Streptophyta; Magnoliopsida; Arecales; Arecaceae.
CAACUGACCCCCGAUGCAUAGUCGGCCGACUCAUUCAAAUAUAUCAUAAUCGUCAUGGAUGGUUACUCCAUCAAUAUCGCGGCGUAAUCCAUGAAGACUAAUAAUCCAUUGCGAGAUUACUGUUCUAUGAUUCUACGCCGCUAAAUGCGGGACCAUAUCCGACGGUUACGACCAUUUACUCUAUAAAAAGGGAUAAGGCAACAGUUUUGGUAAGCUAAAUUUUAUAUGCUGAGCUCUGUCUCCAUUCUCAUACUACUGUUGUCCAGUCUCCCUCUCUAAC